RNAcentral lists this ribosomal RNA (464 nucleotides) under uncultured bacterium. RNAcentral describes it as "bacterial SSU rRNA". It matches the Rfam family "Bacterial small subunit ribosomal RNA", at positions 1 to 451 of the family's 1533-position model. The record is from RNAcentral.
CCCUUAGAGUUUGAUCCUGGCUCAGGAUGAACGCUGGCGGCGUGCUUAACACAUGCAAGUCGAGCGAAGCGAUUUAAAUGAGACUUCGGUGGAUUUUAAAUUGACUGAGCGGCGGACGGGUGAGUAACGCGUGGAUAACCUGCCUCACACAGGAGGAUAACAGUUAGAAAUGACUGCUAAUACCGCAUAAGCGCACGGUACUGCAUGGUACAGUGUGAAAAACUCAGGUGGUGUGAGAUGGAUCCGCGUCUGAUUAGGUAGUUGGUGAGGUAACGGCCCACCAAGCCGACGAUCAGUAGCCGACCUGAGAGGGUGACCGGCCACAUUGGGACUGAGACACGGCCCAAACUCCUACGGGAGGCAGCAGUGGGGAAUAUUGCACAAUGGGCGAAAGCCUGAUGCAGCAACGCCGCGUGAGUGAAGAAGUAUCUCGGUAUGUAAAGCUCUAUCAGCAGGGAAGAAAA